GAUGAAGAUUUUUUGUUGGCGAAGUCCGGGGAAGUCCGAUCGUUAGAGAAGUCCGUCUGAGAUUUAUCUGAUGUGGAAGCUCAUCCGAAGAUCGUCCGCCGGGGAAGUCCGAUUUUAUGGGAAGCCUGGUAGGAGGUCGGCCGGCGAUGGACUUCGGAUAGCGUUGGGGAGGCUCGGCAGACAUCGGAGGCAAUCGGCUAUCGCAGGGACCUAGCUGCUGGAGCUCGUCCGGAAUCCAUCCGCCGGAGAAGUAGCUCGGCUGAAGUCUAUCUGUAAUAGAAGUUCGGAGGGAAUUCGUUUACAGUAGAGGCUUGAAUGGAAUUUGCUUACAGUAGAUGUCUGGGAUAGACAGCCCGCGGUAGGAGUUCGGAGCAGACCGUUCGUAGUAGAAGUUCGGUUCUCGCGGGAGCUUGAUUGGGAUUCGAAAGACGGUCGACCGCCGUGGAAACUUGGAUGGAAUCUGGUUACCGUAGAAAUCUCGCUGUUAGGGAAGCUCGGAUGCAGACGAAGUCCGGAAGAAAUUUGGAAAAUAGUUGGUUGCUGUAGAAGGUCGGCUAACAGUGGGGCCCAGAGGGCCUUUGGGGUGGCCCAGUGGAUGAAUGCAGAAGUUCAUUGUCGGAGAAGUCCGGACGGUCGAGGGGGUUCGGAGAGACGCCACACAUAAGGUCGGGAGCCGGAAGAGCCUUGGAAGGAUCGGUCUUUUACAAACUUCGGCCGGGGGGUAUUUUAUACCCAACACCAGUCUCCCUACUUUUGAGUUCGGGUUUCGAAUGAAGGAAGUACAGAGAAAUUCUCAUGGCCGAAGUUGCUUCCCUCGAUUUCCGCACUCGACGGUUGCCAGAUAUUUUGACGUCCGGCACGCUGGUACUGGAGCCUUUUUAGAAAAGAUUUCUUCUUUUCGGAAUUUCCGCCGGAGCGCAGUCCUAGGUACGGUGCCAUAAUGGUUUUACUAAUUGUCGGCCACCUCCAGCCGCUUGCCACGGUGAGUGGGCCACGCGGCGGUUACAGACUGGUCUGAGUCCUGCAGUCAUUAUUGCAUCGGACCCCGUCGCCUAUUUAAACUUGCCUCCCCUCUUCGGGGAUCUCACUUUGCACAGGAGUUUCUUCGGUCUUUCCUUCCUGGCCUUAGGCGUCCGUUGAGUCGUUUUCAUCUUUGUAUCCCCGCAUCCCUCAGACCAGCUUGGGUUAGCCCCAAAACGUUCUCUGCUUCCGCGGCCUCGUUUAUAGACUGUGCUGGUCUUCCUUCGUUGCGGAUAUGGACGCGGACGCGGCUCAGAUGUUAGCCC
RNAcentral lists this long non-coding RNA (1286 nucleotides) under Elaeis guineensis (African oil palm). RNAcentral describes it as "long non-coding RNA (EGUI_LNC054800)". The record is from RNAcentral. Lineage: Eukaryota; Viridiplantae; Streptophyta; Magnoliopsida; Arecales; Arecaceae.